UGAGGAAUAUUGGUCAAUGGGCGAGAGCCUGAACCAGCCAAGUCGCGUGAAGGAUGAAGGUUCUAUGGAUUGUAAACUUCUUUUAUUCGAGGGUAAAGUGAGGUACGUGUACCUUAUUGCAAGUAUCGAAUGAAUAAGCAUCGGCUAACUCCGUGCCAGCAGCCACGGUAAUACGGAGGAUGCGAGCGUUAUCCGGAUUUAUGGGUUUAAAGGGUGCGUAGGCUGUGUAGCAAGUCAGUGGUGAAAGCCCGGUGCUCAACACCGGAACUGCCAUUGAUACUGUUGCGCUGGAAUACGGAUGCCGUGGGAGGAAUGAGUAGUGUAGCGGUGAAAUGCAUAGAUAUUACUCAGAACACCGAUUGCGAAGGCAUCUCACGAAUCCGUCAUUGACGCUGAGGCACGAAAGCGUGGGGAUC
RNAcentral lists this ribosomal RNA (416 nucleotides) under uncultured bacterium. Its description in RNAcentral is "bacterial SSU rRNA". It matches the Rfam family "Bacterial small subunit ribosomal RNA", at positions 355 to 769 of the family's 1533-position model. The record is from RNAcentral.